GAUGAACGCUGGCGGCGUGCCUAAUACAUGCAAGUCGAGCGAACAGACGAGGAGCUUGCUCCUCUGACGUUAGCGGCGGACGGGUGAGUAACACGUGGAUAACCUACCUAUAAGAUUGGGAUAACUUCGGGAAACCGGAGCUAAUACCGGAUAAUAUAUUGAACCGCAUGGUUCAAUAGUGAAAGACGGUUUUGCUGUCACUUAUAGAUGGAUCCGCGCCGCAUUAGCUAGUUGGUAAGGUAACGGCUUACCAAGGCAACGAUGCGUAGCCGACCUGAGAGGGUGAUCGGCCACACUGGAACUGAGACACGGUCCAGACUCCUACGGGAGGCAGCAGUAGGGAAUCUUCCGCAAUGGGCGAAAGCCUGACGGAGCAACGCCGCGUGAGUGAUGAAGGUCUUCGGGUCGUAAAACUCUGUUAUUAGGGAAGAACAAAUGUGUAAGUAACUAUGCACGUCUUGACGGUACCUAUCAGAAAGCCACGGCUAACUACGUG
This 496-nucleotide ribosomal RNA is filed under the name uncultured bacterium. RNAcentral's name for it is "partial 16S ribosomal RNA". It matches the Rfam family "Bacterial small subunit ribosomal RNA", at positions 28 to 507 of the family's 1533-position model. The record is from RNAcentral.